UACGUAGGCGGAAAAUUAAGUCAGUAGUGAAAUCCUGCAGCUUAACUGUAGAACUGUUAUUGAUACUGGUUUUCUUGAAUAUAGUUGAGGUAAGCGGAAUGUGUAAUGUAGCGGUGAAAUGCUUAGAUAUUACACAGAACACCGAUUGCGAAGGCAGCUUACUAAGCUAUGAUUGACGCUGAGGUACGAAAGCGUGGUGAGCGAACAGGAUUAGAUACCCUGGUAGUCC
RNAcentral lists this ribosomal RNA (229 nucleotides) under uncultured bacterium. RNAcentral's name for it is "partial 16S ribosomal RNA". It matches the Rfam family "Bacterial small subunit ribosomal RNA", at positions 568 to 796 of the family's 1533-position model. The record is from RNAcentral.